RNAcentral lists this ribosomal RNA (272 nucleotides) under uncultured bacterium. RNAcentral describes it as "partial 16S ribosomal RNA". It matches the Rfam family "Bacterial small subunit ribosomal RNA", at positions 524 to 794 of the family's 1533-position model. The record is from RNAcentral.
UACGUAGGGUGCAAGCGUUAAUCGGAAUUACUGGGCGUAAAGCGCGCGUAGGCGGCUUUGUAAGUUAGAGGUGAAAGCCCGGGGCUCAACCCCGGAACUGCCUUUAAGACUGCAUCGCUUGAAUCCGGGAGAGGUGAGUGGAAUUCCGAGUGUAGAGGUGAAAUUCGUAGAUAUUCGGAAGAACACCAGUGGCGAAGGCGGCUCACUGGACCGGCAUUGACGCUGAGGUGCGAAAGCGUGGGAGCAAACAGGAUUGAGAUACCCCGAGUAGC